Molecule: transfer RNA, 90 nt
Filed under: Polysiphonia sp.
Lineage: Eukaryota; Rhodophyta; Florideophyceae; Ceramiales; Rhodomelaceae
Description: tRNA-Leu
Rfam family: tRNA
About the family: Transfer RNA (tRNA) molecules are approximately 80 nucleotides in length. Their secondary structure includes four short double-helical elements and three loops (D, anti-codon, and T loops).
Source: RNAcentral
ACUCGCUUGGUGAAAUUGGUAAACACGAUGAAUUUAAAAUUCAUUCUUAUAAAAUUUAACAAGUUAUUGGUUCGAGUCCAAUAGUGAGUA